CAACCCCGGCCAGCGGUCGGAACUGCNNNNCUUGAGUGCGGCCGAGGCGGGCGGAAUUCGUGGUGUAGCGGUNAAAUGCUUAGAUAUNACGAAGAACUCCGAUUGCGAAGGCAGCCCGCCAGCCCGCUACUGACGUUGAGGCUCGAAGGUGCGGGUAUCGAACAGGAUUAGAUACCCUGGUAGUCCGCACGGUAAACGAUGGACACCCGCCGUGGGCGACAUACAGUCCGCGGCCAAGCGAAAGCGUUAAGUGUCCCGCCUGGGGAGUACGCCGGCAACGGUGAAACUCAAAGGAAUUGACGGGGGCCCGCACAAGCGGAGGAACAUGUGGUUUAAUUCGAUGAUACGCGAGGAACCUUACCCGGGCUCGAACCUCCCCCGAAUCCGGCGGAGACGCCGGAGCCAGCAAUGGCGGGGGCGGAGGUGCUGCAUGGUUGUCGUCAGCUCGUGCCGUGAGGUGUCGGCUUAAGUGCCAUAACGAGCGCAACCCCUCCCUCCAGUUGCCAUCGGGUAAUGCCGGGGACUCUGGAGGCACUGCCAUCGCAAGAUGCGAGGAAGGCGGGGAUGACGUCAAAUCAGCACGGCCCUUACGUCCGGGGCUACACACGUGUUACAAUGGGGGGUACAGAGGGCCGCUGCACGGCGACGUGCGGCCAAUCCCUAAAUCCCCUCCCAGUUCGGACCGGAGUCUGGAACCCGACUCCGCGAAGCUGGAUUCGCUAGUAAUCGCGCAUCAGCCAUGGCGCGGUGAAUACGUUCCCGGGCCUUGUACACACCGCCCGUCAAGCCAUGAAAGCCGGGGGUGCCUGAAGUGCGUAACCGCAAGGAGCGCCCUAGGGUAAAACUGGUGAUUGGGGCUAAGUCGUAACAAGGUAGCCGUAA
RNAcentral lists this ribosomal RNA (882 nucleotides) under uncultured bacterium. RNAcentral describes it as "bacterial SSU rRNA". It matches the Rfam family "Bacterial small subunit ribosomal RNA", at positions 610 to 1505 of the family's 1533-position model. The record is from RNAcentral.